RNAcentral lists this ribosomal RNA (304 nucleotides) under uncultured bacterium. RNAcentral's name for it is "partial 16S ribosomal RNA". It matches the Rfam family "Bacterial small subunit ribosomal RNA", at positions 506 to 807 of the family's 1533-position model. The record is from RNAcentral.
CAGCAGUAGCCACGGUAAUACGAAGGGGGCUAGCGUUGUUCGGAGUUACUGGGCGUAAAGCGUACGUAGGCGGAUUGUUAAGUGAGGGGUGAAAUCCCAGGGCUUAACCUGGGAACUGCAUUUGUGACUGGCGAGCUAGUGUAUGGCAGAGGGGGGUAGAAUUCCACGUGUAGCAGUGAAAUGCGUAGAGAUGUGGAGGAAUACCGAUGGCGAAGGCAGCCCCCUGGGCCAAUACUGACGCUCAUGCACGAAAGCGUGGGGAGCAAACAGGAUUAGAUACCCCAGUAGUCCCUGUCUCUUAUAC